Molecule: long non-coding RNA, 378 nt
Filed under: Oryza sativa aus subgroup
Lineage: Eukaryota; Viridiplantae; Streptophyta; Magnoliopsida; Poales; Poaceae
Description: lncRNA OsN22_02G026110
Source: RNAcentral
CUGAGAAACUGCAACCUCAUCUCUACUUCUUUCAUAGUAGGCCUAUCUCCUCCUCUGGGUUUCAAGCAUACUUCUAUAGAAUCCCUUUGUAAACUGUGCCAUGUCCUCCACGAUCGAACACGUGUAGCAUCAAAGUUGUUAGUCGCCUCCUCUAAUUCCUCCAAGGAAAAAAUCUUUGUUUUGUUUGUGGCACUUUCAUCUGAGAUUAGUUGCUCUAACAGAAGUCCUUGGUUUUUCUUAAAAUAUGCUCUUCGGAUUCUCUUCUGGAUACCUUUUUUCCACUUAUUGGCAAGCAUAGUUGCACAAAAUGCAAGAGCUAUAGAGACAAGGCCACAACUGAUUCCUACUGCAAUACCUGCAGAAGAACUCCUUGAUUAG